This is a long non-coding RNA of Strigops habroptila (Kakapo), 1695 nucleotides long. RefSeq lists it as uncharacterized. The record is from RefSeq and is a predicted model, not a curated record. The transcript is spliced from 2 exons. NCBI's taxonomy places the organism in Eukaryota, Metazoa, Chordata, Aves, Psittaciformes, Psittacidae.
GUUAGAAAUCAUAAUGUUCGACUAACAGAAGUUUAAUCGGGUUUUAAUCAAUAUAUAUAUAUGCGUAGUAUUUAGCCUUAUUAAUUUAGUCGAUUUGUGCUUUGUUAGUUUUGUUACUAGGCCAGAGAAGUCUGGUAACUAGGAUGUGGACAUAGGUGUAUGAGACCGUUUAAGCAAUAUCCUUAUAAGGUGAUGGUUUGGUAGAAACAGUACUCUAAAGAUUAUUCAAGUAGAACUUUUAAUUAAGAUAGGAAACAAAGUUGCAUACCAGAACCAGUCAAGGAGAGAUAGAAGAAUACUGGCACAAUCGUUGGGACUUAUCCAGGACUCUGAAAGGUGAAAAGGACAUAGCGAGGAAGACGUCUUACUUCAUCUGAGGAAGACUACUUACUUCAUCCUAACGACCACCAGAAGGGGGCUGCGCAAGUGCAGAAACAACUGAUGGCGUAAUCAAGAGAUGAAGCAAUUUGUAAAUACAUAUGCAUGAGAAGAUGUUGUAACCUGUUGAAUAUACAUUAGAUUGUGAAAUCUCAACAGGAUAAAUUGCGGGUGCGUUGUGAUGAUCUUUGGAACCAGAUUUAGGUGCAUACCCCUGGUUCCCGGGGCCUCGAAAUAAAGCACCACAUAUAACCUCCUUAGAGUGGUUAUGUGUUCUUCUCUUGGCUAACAGUUUGGCGACCCAGAUGGGACCUCACGGGCAUUGCUGAGGCGGCUCGCGCAUCGAUUCAGCUCCAGCCGGCACUGAGUGAUUCUCGGGGAGCCAUCGACUGCAACCGACCUCCGGUGCUCUCGACGGACCAACGGCAUUGUAGAACGUUGAUCCGGUUGCGUAGCGCCCUAAUCUGGAACCGACCGCUCUCAUUGGAUACUCCAGUACACGAGAUCGAGCCAGGAGACCAGGUCUACGUUCGUGAUUGGAGCAAGGAACCACUGAAGGAAUGGUGGAAUGGGCCAUACCUGGUGCUGCUAACUACCUCCACCUCCUACUUAUCAGGAAACAACUACAUGAGUGAAAAUACUUGCAGAAGAUGAAGUAUUUUCAAAGGGGGGAAAUGUUAGAAAUCAUAACAUUCGACUAACAGAAGUUUAAUCGGGUUUUAAUCAAUAUAUAUAUGUGUGUAGUAUUUAGCCUUAUUAAUUUAGUCGAUUUGUGCUUUGUUAGUUUUGUUACUAGGCCAGAGAAGUCUGGUAACUAGGAUGUGGACAUAGGUGUAUGAGACCGUUUAAGCAAUAUCCUUAUAAGGUGAUGGUUUGGUAGAAACAGUACUCUAAAGAUUAUUCAAGUAGAACUUUUAAUUAAGAUAGGAAACAAAGUUGCAUACCAGAACCAGUCAAGGAGAGAUAGAAGAAUACUGGCACAAACACAAUCGUUGGGACUUAUCCAGGACUCUGAAAGGUGAAAAGGACAUAGCGAGGAAGACGUCUUACUUCAUCUGAGGAAGACUACUUACUUCAUCCUAACGACCACCAGAAGGGGGCUGCGCAAGCGCAGAAACAACUGAUGGCGUAAUCAAGAGAUGAAGCAAUUUGUAAAUACAUAUGCAUGAGAAGAUGUUGUAACCUGUUGAAUAUACAUUAGAUUGUGAAAUCUCAACAGGAUAAAUUGCGGGUGCGUUGUGAUGAUCUUUGGAACCAGAUUUGAGUGCAUACCCCUGGUUCCCGGGGCUUCGAAAUAAAGCACCACAUAUAACCUCC